UUUGACGUUAGCGACAGAAGAAGCACCGGCUAACUCCGUGCCAGCAGCCGCGGUAAUACGGAGGGUGCGAGCGUUAAUCGGAAUUACUGGGCGUAAAGCGCAUGCAGGUGGUUUGUUAAGUCAGAUGUGAAAGCCCGGGGCUCAACCUCGGAAUAGCAUUUGAAACUGGCAGACUAGAGUACUGUAGAGGGGGGUAGAAUUUCAGGUGUAGCGGUGAAAUGCGUAGAGAUCUGAAGGAAUACCGGUGGCGAAGGCGGCCCCCUGGACAGAUACUGACACUCAGAUGCGAAAGCGUGGGGAGCAAACAGGAUUAGAUACCCUGGUAGUCCACGCCGUAAACGAUGUCUACUUGGAGGUUGUGGCCUUGAGCCGUGGCUUUCGGAGCUAACGCGUUAAGUAGACCGCCUGGGGAGUACGGUCGCAAGAUUAAAACUCAAAUGAAUUGACGGGGGCCCGCACAAGCGGUGGAGCAUGUGGUUUAAUUCGAUGCAACGCGAAGAACCUUACCUACUCUUGACAUCCAGAGAACUUUUCAGAGAUGAAUUGGUGCCUUCGGGAACUCUGAGACAGGUGCUGCAUGGCUGUCGUCAGCUCGUGUUGUGAAAUGUUGGGUUAAGUCCCGCAACGAGCGCAACCCUUAUCCUUGUUUGCCAGCGAGUAAUGUCGGGAACUCCAGGGAGACUGCCGGUGAUAAACCGGAGGAAGGUGGGGACGACGUCAAGUCAUCAUGGCCCUUACGAGUAGGGCUACACACGUGCUACAAUGGCGCAUACAGAGGGCGGCCAACUUGCGAAAGUGAGCGAAUCCCAAAAAGUGCGUCGUAGUCCGGAUUGGAGUCUGCAACUCGACUCCAUGAAGUCGGAAUCGCUAGUAAUCGUGGAUCAGAAUGCCACGGUGAAUACGUUCCCGGGCCUUGUACACACCGCCCGUCACACCAUGGGAGUGGGCUGCAAAAGAAGUAGGUAGUUUAACCUUCGGGGGGACGCUUACCACUUUGUGGUUCAUGACUGGGGUGAAGUCGUAACAAGGUAGCGCUAGGGGAACCUGGCGCUG
RNAcentral lists this ribosomal RNA (1053 nucleotides) under Vibrio natriegens NBRC 15636 = ATCC 14048 = DSM 759. RNAcentral's name for it is "bacterial SSU rRNA". It matches the Rfam family "Bacterial small subunit ribosomal RNA", at positions 468 to 1520 of the family's 1533-position model. The record is from RNAcentral. Lineage: Bacteria; Pseudomonadati; Pseudomonadota; Gammaproteobacteria; Vibrionales; Vibrionaceae.